UGGUGGAGUGAUUUGUCUGCUUAAUUGCGAUAACGAACGAGACCUUAACCUACUAAAUAGUUACAUGAACCUUUGAGUUCAUGGUCAUACUUCUUAGAGGGACUUUUGAGUGUCAAACCAAAGGAAGUUUAAGGCAAUAACA
RNAcentral lists this ribosomal RNA (142 nucleotides) under uncultured eukaryote. RNAcentral's name for it is "partial 18S ribosomal RNA". It matches the Rfam family "Eukaryotic small subunit ribosomal RNA", at positions 1299 to 1458 of the family's 1831-position model. The record is from RNAcentral.